Molecule: ribosomal RNA, 585 nt
Filed under: uncultured bacterium
Lineage: Bacteria
Description: bacterial SSU rRNA
Rfam family: Bacterial small subunit ribosomal RNA
Source: RNAcentral
CCUACGGGAGGCAGCAGUGGGGAAUAUUGGACAAUGGGCGCGAGCCUGAUCCAGCCAUGCCGCGUGUGUGAAGAAGGCCUUCGGGUUGUAAAGCACUUUUAUCCGGAAAGAAAAGCUUUGGGUUAAUACCCUGAAGUCAUGACGGUACCGGAAGAAUAAGCACCGGCUAACUUCGUGCCAGCAGCCGCGGUAAUACGAAGGGUGCAAGCGUUACUCGGAAUUACUGGGCGUAAAGCGUGCGUAGGUGGUUUGUUAAGUCUGAUGUGAAAGCCCUAGGCUCAACCUGGGAAUUGCAUUGGAUACUGGCAGGCUAGAGUGCGGUAGAGGAUAGUGGAAUUCCCGGUGUAGCAGUGAAAUGCGUAGAGAUCGGGAGGAACAUCUGUGGCGAAGGCGACUAUCUGGGCCAGCACUGACACUGAGGCACGGAAGCGUGGGGAGCAAACAGGAUUAGAUACCCUGGUAGUCCACGCCCUAAACGAUGCGAACUGGAUGUUGGGUGCAACUAGGCACUCAGUAUCGAAGCUAACGCGUUAAGUUCGCCGCCUGGGGAGUACGGUCGCAAGCUGAAACUCAAAGGAUUGACGG